UACAGCGAAACUGCGAAUGGCUCAUUAAAUCAGUUAUCGUUUAUUUGAUAGUACCUUACUACUUGGAUAACCGUGGUAAUUCUAGAGCUAAUACAUGCUAAAAACCCCGACUCACGAAGGGGUGUAUUUAUUAGAUUAAAAACCAAUGCCCUUCUGGGCUCUUUGGUGAUUCAUAAUAACUUCUCGAAUCGCAUGGCCUUGCGCCGGCGAUGGUUCAUUCAAAUUUCUGCCCUAUCAACUUUCGAUGGCAGGGUCUUGGCCUGCCAUGGUUACAACGGGUAACGGAGGGUUAGGGCUCGACCCCGGAGAAGGAGCCUGAGAAACGGCUACUACAUCCAAGGAAGGCAGCAGGCGCGCAAAUUACCCAAUCCCGACUCGGGGAGGUAGUGACAAUAAAUACUGAUACAGGGCUCUUUUGGGUCUUGUAAUUGGAAUGAGUACAAUUUAAAUCUCUUAACGAGGAACAAUUGGAGGGCAAGUCUGGUGCCAGCAGCCGCGGUAAUUCCAGCUCCAAUAGCGUAUAUUAAAGUUGUUGCAGUUAAAAAGCUCGUAGUUGAACCUUGGGCCUGGCUGGCCGGUCCGCCUCACCGCGUGCACUGGUUCGGCCGGGCCUUUCCCUCUGGGGAACUGCAUGCUCUUCACUGAGCGUGUUAGGGAACCAGGACUUUUACUGUGAAAAAAUUAGAGUGUUCAAAGCAGGCCUAUGCUCGAAUACAUUAGCAUGGAAUAAUGAAAUAGGACGUGUGGUUCUAUUUUGUUGGUUUCUAGGACCGCCGUAAUGAUUAAUAGGGACAGUCGGGGGCAUCAGUAUUCAAUUGUCAGAGGUGAAAUUC
Molecule: ribosomal RNA, 833 nt
Filed under: Beltrania krabiensis
Lineage: Eukaryota; Fungi; Ascomycota; Sordariomycetes; Amphisphaeriales; Beltraniaceae
Description: SSU rRNA
Rfam family: Eukaryotic small subunit ribosomal RNA
Source: RNAcentral